UUUGAUCCUGGCUCAGGGCGAACGCUGGCGGCACGCCUCAUACAUGCAAGUCGAGCGAUCGGAUGCUGGGUGCUUGCACCCGGCAUUACGGAGCGGCGAACGGGUGAGUAACACGUGGGCAACCUGCCCCGAGGACCGGGAUAACUUCGGGAAACUGGAGCUAAUACCGGAUGUCCUUUCUGGAUCGCAUGGUCCGGUAAGGAAAUGGUUCUUCCGCCUUAGGAGGGGCUCGCGGCCUAUCAGCUUGUUGGUGGGGUAACGGCCUACCAAGGCUAUGACGGGUAGCCGGCCUGAGAGGGUGUUCGGCCACACCGGGACUGAGACACGGCCCGGACUCCUACGGGAGGCAGCAGUAGGGGAUCUUGCACAAUGGGCGCAAGCCUGAUGCAGCGAUGCCGCGUGAGGGAUGAAGGCCUUCGGGUCGUAAACCUCUUUCAGUAGGGAAGAAGCCACGGGUCACCGUGGUGACGGUACCUGCAGAAGAAGCCCCGGCUAACUACGUGCCAGCAGCCGCGGUAAAACGUAGGGGGCGAGCGUUGCCCGGAUUCACUGGGCGUAAAGCGGGUGUAGGCGGUUCCUUAAGUCGGUUGUGAAAUCCCACGGCUCAACCGUGGAAUUGCGUCCGAUACUGGGGAACUUGAGGACGGUAGAGGUCGGUGGAAUUCCGAGUGUACCGGUGAAAUGGGCAGAUAUUCGGAGGAACACCAGUGGCGAAGGCGGCCGACUGGGCCGAUCCUGACGCUGAGACCCGAAAGCCAGGGUAGCGAACCGGAUUAGAUACCCGGGUAGUCCUGGCCGUAAACGGUGCGAACUAGGUGUGGGGGCUGUCAUGGCCUCCGUGCCGAAGCUAACGCAUUAAGUUCGCCGCCUGGGGAGUACGGCCGCAAGGCUAAAACUCAAAGGAAUUGACGGGGGCCCGCACAAGCGGCGGAGCGCGUUGCUUAAUUCGAUGCAAAGCGAAGAACCUUACCCAGGCAUGACAUCCUGGAUGUAGGCGCCGGAAAGGGUGGCCCACCCGUAAAAUCGGGAACCAGGACAGGUGUUGCAUGGCUGUCGUCAGCUCGUGCCGUGAGGUGUUGGGUUAAGUCCCGCAACGAGCGCAACCCCCAUCGCAUGUUGCCACCGGGUAAUGCCGAGCACUCAUGCGAGACUGCCGGGGAAACCCCGGAGGAAGGAGGGGAUGACGUCAGGUCCGCAUGGCCCUUAAGCCUGGGGCUGCAAACGCGCUACAAUGCGUGGUACAGCGGGUUGCAAAGCCGCAAGGUGGAGCCAAUCCCGAAAAGCCACGCCCAGUUCGGAUCGGGGUCUGCAACCCGACCCCGUGAAGUUGGGGUCGCUAGUAAUGGCAGAUCAGCAUGCUGCCGUGAAUACGUUCUCGGGCCUUGUACACACCGCCCGUCACACCCCGAAAGCGGGGAACAGAUGAAGCCGGUGGCCCAACCGUAAGGGGGGAGCCGUCGAGUCUGGGCUUCGUGAUUGGGGUGAAGUCGUAACAAGGUAGCCGUACCGGAAGGUGCGGCUGGAUCACCUCCUUUC
This 1536-nucleotide ribosomal RNA is filed under the name uncultured bacterium. Its description in RNAcentral is "bacterial SSU rRNA". It matches the Rfam family "Bacterial small subunit ribosomal RNA". The record is from RNAcentral.